RNAcentral lists this long non-coding RNA (558 nucleotides) under Cricetulus griseus (Chinese hamster). Its description in RNAcentral is "lncRNA (ENSCGRG00015041292.1)". The record is from RNAcentral. Lineage: Eukaryota; Metazoa; Chordata; Mammalia; Rodentia; Cricetidae.
CUCUGACUCACCCAGGAAAAAGCACUUGAAUUAAGAUGCAACUCAGAAAAGCCUGAAGAAGUCCAUUCAUCCUCCAGGAUCUCACACCUUCACUGUGGGGGAGUGAAAUGCAAGGCUAGGAACAUGGGGACAGUGGUGAGAGCAGAUGCCUGUAGAGACCAGAAGAAGUCUUCAAAUCCCUUGAAGCUGGAGAUACAGGCAGUUGUGAACUGUGCUAAGUGUAGGUGCUAAGAACUGAAUUCAGGGUGUUGUACUGACCUGGAACUUGCCAAGCAGGCUGUGCUCGCCCACUAAGUAAACCCCACAGAUAUCUCUGUCUCUGCCUCCGCAGCACUGGGAUUAGAAGCUCAGGAGACUGUGCCUGGGGUCCUGCCUCCAGCACUCCCCUCUUCACACAGGAAAUGACUAAGCAGCACAGUGUCUGUCUCAUGUAUGUAUAAGUUACUUUUCCUGCCUGUGUGUCCAAAUAAAGCAUACACAGAGGUAAAGGGCUUAUUUUGACUCACAGUUUUGGGGGAGGGUGACAGUCCAUUACAGUUGGGAAGGCAUGGCCGCAGG